This 287-nucleotide ribosomal RNA is filed under the name uncultured bacterium. Its description in RNAcentral is "partial 16S ribosomal RNA". It matches the Rfam family "Bacterial small subunit ribosomal RNA", at positions 773 to 1060 of the family's 1533-position model. The record is from RNAcentral.
GUGGAUUAGAUACCCUGGUAGUCCACGCCGUAAACGGUGGGCACUAGGUGUGGGGGACAUUCCACGUUCUCCGUGCCGUAGCUAACGCAUUAAGUGCCCCGCCUGGGGAGUACGGCCGCAAGGCUAAAACUCAAAGGAAUUGACGGGGGCCCGCACAAGCGGCGGAGCAUGCGGAUUAAUUCGAUGCAACGCGAAGAACCUUACCUGGGUUUGACAUGCACCAGAAGCAUUCAGAGAUGGGUGUGCCUUCGGGCUGGUGUGCAGGUGGUGCACGGUUGUCGUCAGCU